This 737-nucleotide ribosomal RNA is filed under the name uncultured bacterium. RNAcentral's name for it is "bacterial SSU rRNA". It matches the Rfam family "Bacterial small subunit ribosomal RNA", at positions 1 to 753 of the family's 1533-position model. The record is from RNAcentral.
CGCCCUUAGAGUUUGAUUCCUGGCUCAGAACGAACGCUGGCGGCGUGGAUAAGACAUGCAAGUCGAACGGGACAGUCUUGUAGCAAUAUGAGACUGUUCAGUGGCGAACGGGUGCGUAACACGUGGAUACAUUCCGGGAAGUGAGAAAUAGCCCAGGGAAACUUGGAUUAAUAUCUCAUGUGGUCGCAAGACUAAAGGCGCAAGCCGCUUCCUGAUUGGUCCGCGGCCUAUCAGCUAGUUGGUGAGGUAAUGGCUCACCAAGGCAACGACGGGUAGCUGGUCUGAGAGGACGACCAGCCACACUGGAACUGAGACACGGUCCAGACACCUACGGGUGGCAGCAGUCGAGAAUCUUUCACAAUGGGGGAAACCCUGAUGGAGUGACGCCGCGUGGAGGUUAAGGUCUUCGGAUUGUAAACUCCUGUCAUGCGAGAACAAAGCCCGCAAGGGUGUGAUAGUACCGCAAGAGGAAGAGACGGCUAACUCUGUGCCAGCAGCCGCGGUAAUACAGAGGUCUCAAGCGUUGUUCGGAAUUACUGGGCGUAAAGGGUGCGCAGGCCGCGCGGGCAGUCAAAUGUGUAAUCCAGGGGCUCAACCCCUGAACUGCGCUUGAUACUUCCGCGCUCGAGCUUUGGAGAGGAGUCUGGAAUUCUCGGGUGUAGCAGUGAAAUGCGUGGAUAUCGAGAAGAACACUUAGGGCGAAGGCAAGACUCUGGACAAAUGCUGACGCUCAUGCA